CUCAAAUCAGGUAGGACUACCCGCUGAACUUAA
RNAcentral lists this ribosomal RNA (33 nucleotides) under Papiliotrema laurentii. RNAcentral describes it as "partial 28S ribosomal RNA". RNAcentral also lists the same sequence under 9 other names. The record is from RNAcentral. Lineage: Eukaryota; Fungi; Basidiomycota; Tremellomycetes; Tremellales; Rhynchogastremaceae.